CAGCAGCCGCGGUAAUACGAAGGGGGCUAGCGUUGCUCGGAAUUACUGGGCGUAAAGCGUGCGUAGGUGGUGGUUUAAGUCCGUUGUGAAAGCCCUGGCUCAACCUGGGAAUUGCAGUGGAUACUGGAUCACUAGAGUGUGGUAGAGGAUAGUGGAAUUUCCGGUGUAGCAGUGAAAUGCGUAGAGAUCGGAAGGAACAUCUGUGGCGAAGGCGACUAUCUGGGCCAACACUGACACUGAGGCACGGAAGCGUGGGGAGCAAACAGGAUUAGAUACCCCCGUAGUCCCUGUCUCUUAUACA
This 301-nucleotide ribosomal RNA is filed under the name uncultured bacterium. RNAcentral describes it as "partial 16S ribosomal RNA". It matches the Rfam family "Bacterial small subunit ribosomal RNA", at positions 509 to 808 of the family's 1533-position model. The record is from RNAcentral.